GGCGAACGGGUGAGUAACACGUGGGUGAUCUGCCCUGCACUUCGGGAUAAGCUUGGGAAACUGGGUCUAAUACCGGAUAGGAGCCAUCUUUAGUGUGGUGGUUGGAAAGUUUUUUCAGUGUAGGAUGAGCUCGCGGCCUAUCAGCUUGUUGGUGGGGUAAUGGCCUACCAAGGCGGCGACGGGUAGCCGGCCUGAGAGGGUGUACGGCCACAUUGGGACUGAGAUACGGCCCAG
RNAcentral lists this ribosomal RNA (234 nucleotides) under uncultured Actinomycetales bacterium. RNAcentral describes it as "partial 16S ribosomal RNA". It matches the Rfam family "Bacterial small subunit ribosomal RNA", at positions 97 to 334 of the family's 1533-position model. The record is from RNAcentral. Lineage: Bacteria; Bacillati; Actinomycetota; Actinomycetes; Actinomycetales.